Notothenia coriiceps (black rockcod) is the source of this 1791-nucleotide long non-coding RNA. RefSeq lists it as uncharacterized. The transcript has 4 exons. The record is from RefSeq and is a predicted model, not a curated record. Lineage: Eukaryota; Metazoa; Chordata; Actinopteri; Perciformes; Nototheniidae.
GAUAUGGGGCUUCUACAAGCAAGGCUACAAGUGUAAAGCCUGUGGGGUGAACUGCCACAAGGCCUGUCGGAGCCGCCUGGCCGUGGAGUGCAGGAAAAGGACGAAGAGCAUCAGCCACGAGACGCCUCCCGCCCUCCAGGCCAGAUCCUACAGCUUCCCCCCACCUGCCAACACUCCACCCAGCCUGCAGCACUCAGUAAUUGCUGAAGAGGAUUUAGAGACCUUGGAGGAAGGAGUGUUUGAUGUCCACCUAUAACCAGGCCAGUCUGCAGCUCUCUAUUUUAGAAUCCCUCCUACGGCUGGUGUGCACGAAGCUAAAUCAGCGUCUGUGGGGCCCUGACACAGAAUGUGCUACAGUAUGUCAGUUUUACAGCCCUCAAACUGAAGAGAAAUGCACUGAACACAAGCCAGGAUCCCUCCAUGCUGCCACACAGUGGACACAUCCUGCAACAGCACCCCCACCCAACUUACAUGAAUGUGAAGACCAAUGUGAAUGGAAUGUCUUUGUAUGAAAAUAAAUGUACAAUCUCUGCAUUAUGAUUCUGUAUUGGCCAAAAGUGUUACUGUUAAACUUACUAUAUAUAUUAAAAAAUAUCCACAAAAUUGUAUUUUCUUCGUGGAAUGCUAAAGUCAGUGGAGUUUAUAAUUUCAUUGCACAAUCGUAAUGGCUGUCUACAUUUUUAUUUUCUGUAAAAAAACAAACAUAUAAGAGGUGCUGUUCUCGCCAAGAAUGUAAACCAGACAGCUUCUGUCUUCUUUGCCUGAGAAGCUUUUUAUUGUACAUCAUGUUAUUUUGAAACACAUUUCAAUGGACCAAUAAUAAUAGGACCCAUUUUGAUGUCAGAUAUAAUAUUGUUGAUUCGUGGUGCCCGUCUGAAGCAUGAUGACAAAAGCAAACCAUUUUUCCGAGCGCUGAAAUGACUGUGUGGACAGUUAUGAUUAGAAAGGACUUUGAUCAAUGUUAUAUUUUUGUCAUGUUUACCGGAAUAUCAGUAACUGUCCUGUAGUUAUUGCUGUGGUGUUGUUCUCAGUAUACAGUCCUGUCUUGUACCAGUGCAUUGAUAGAUGAUCCAUCCUCUUGCUGUGCUGUGAAUGUAGCACACACAGUAAAACGCUGCUGUCAGAUAAAGAUCUCAUUUUCCCAGAGACUGUAUGCUGACAGCGGAGACUAAAAGCCUGGCUAACGUUAAAUCAGUUUUUGUUCCCGGUUCUUAGACUGUCAGUGAAAACAAAAGAAUCAGAAGAAUAAUACCAACAUUGGAGUAAUGAAUCUCGUCAUCUGACAGCAGCGUAUAAAUAUUAUAUUAUUUCCCUGAGAAUCUGCUUUGAUGCAAGUUGUAUUUUGCUGUUUUUAUCCUGCAUGCUUCUCCUUUCAUGGCUCUAUUCUCUGACCAGACAUCUCUAUUACUGAGGAUCUUCUUUAUUUUUAAUGUAGCAUGCCAAGUCAUCAUUUAUUUAGGAAACAUGAAGUGUUGAAAUUCCAACAGAAGAAAUGUUUCUUUUGCUUUGUGCCUGUGGAAAGAUGAGUUCAGACUUUAAGAGCCUACUGUUAAGCACUGCUUGGUUUUUGAAUGAGAAUCCUCACAUUGCUGGUAUUUAUUUUUCUGUAUAAAUAGCUAAAUAGCUGCCGGUUCUAUUCUGACGAAUGAUGUUUGUUGUCAUUCUGUGAAUGCAUUUUUCAGACUGAUGUCAUGCUACUCCUUGUGGUCGAUUCCCCAGUAUUAAAAGAAGCAGGCAUCACUCUAAUAUGUGUUCUCAUUCAGAAAAGGGUUUUGUCUCUAUGAAAUUCAA